CCCUGGUAGUCCACGCUGUAAACGCUGUCGAUUUGGGGGUUGGGGUUUAACUCUGGCGCCCGUAGCUAACGUGAUAAAUCGACCGCCUGGGGAGUACGGCCGCAAGGUUAAAACUCAAAUGAAUUGACGGGGGCCCGCACAAGCGGUGGAGCAUGUGGUUUAAUUCGAUGCAACGCGAAGAACCUUACCUACUCUUGACAUCCUAAGAAGUUUGCAGAGAUGCGAAUGUGCCUUCGGGAACUUAGAACAGGUGCUGCAUGGCUGUCGUCAGCUCGUGUUGUGAAAUGUUGGGUUAAGUCCCGCAACGAGCCAACCCUUAUCCUUUGUUGCCAGCGAUACGGUCGGGAACUCAAAGGAGACUGCCAGUGAUAAACUGGAGGAAGGUGGGGAUGACGUCAAGUCAUCAUGGCCCUUACGAGUAGGGCUACACACGUGCUACAAUGGCGUAUACAGAGGGAAGCGAAGCUGCGAUGGAGCGAAUCUCAUAAAGUACGUCUAAGUCCGGAUUGGAGUCUGCA
Molecule: ribosomal RNA, 518 nt
Filed under: Haemophilus influenzae
Lineage: Bacteria; Pseudomonadati; Pseudomonadota; Gammaproteobacteria; Pasteurellales; Pasteurellaceae
Description: bacterial SSU rRNA
Rfam family: Bacterial small subunit ribosomal RNA
Source: RNAcentral